GAAAACGGGCGUGGACGAAGUAGAAGUGAGAAUGUCAGCUUGAGUAGCGAAAACAUUGGUGAGAAUCCAAUGCCCCGAAAACCUAAGGUUUCCUUCGGAAGGCUCGUCCGCGGAGGGUAAGUCAGGACCUAAGGCGAGGCUGAAAAGCGUAGUCGAUGGAAAACAGGUUAAUAUUCCUGUACUUCUGGUUAUUGCGAUGGAGGGACGGAGAAGGCUAGGCCAGCACGGCGUUGGUUGU
Molecule: ribosomal RNA, 238 nt
Filed under: Aurantiochytrium limacinum
Lineage: Eukaryota; Bigyra; Thraustochytrida; Thraustochytriidae
Description: partial Bacterial large subunit ribosomal RNA
Rfam family: Bacterial large subunit ribosomal RNA
Source: RNAcentral